This 588-nucleotide long non-coding RNA is filed under the name Homo sapiens (human). Its description in RNAcentral is "LHRI_LNC30.1". The record is from RNAcentral. Lineage: Eukaryota; Metazoa; Chordata; Mammalia; Primates; Hominidae.
GAUUUAAAGUGGACUCAUUCCAAUUACAGGGCCUCGAAAGAGUCCUGUAUUGUUAUUUUUCGUCACUACCUCCCCGGGUCGGGAGUGGGUAAUUUGCGCGCCUGCUGCCUUCCUUGGAUGUGGUAGCCGUUUCUCAGGCUCCCUCUCCGGAAUCGAACCCUGAUUCCCCGUCACCCGUGGUCACCAUGGUAGGCACGGCGACUACCAUCGAAAGUUGAUAGGGCAGACGUUCGAAUGGGUCGUCGCCGCCACGGGGGGCGUGCGAUCAGCCCGAGGUUAUCUAGAGUCACCAAAGCCGCCGGCGCCCGCCCCCCGGCCGGGGCCGGAGAGGGGCUGACCGGGUUGGUUUUGAUCUGAUAAAUGCACGCAUCCCCCCCGCGAAGGGGGUCAGCGCCCGUCGGCAUGUAUUAGCUCUAGAAUUACCACAGUUAUCCAAGUAGGAGAGGAGCGAGCGACCAAAGGAACCAUAACUGAUUUAAUGAGCCAUUCGCAGUUUCACUGUACCGGCCGUGCGUACUUAGACAUGCAUGGCUUAAUCUUUGAGACAAGCAUAUGCUACUGGCAGGAUCAACCAGGUAGGUAGGUAGA